GACGAACGCUGGCGGCGUGCUUAACACAUGCAAGUCGAACGGAAAGGCCCUGCUUUUGUGGGGUGCUCGAGUGGCGAACGGGUGAGUAACACGUGAGUAACCUGCCCUUGACUUUGGGAUAACUUCAGGAAACUGGGGCUAAUACCGGAUAGGAGCUCCUGCUGCAUGGUGGGGGUUGGAAAGUUUCGGCGGUUGGGGAUGGACUCGCGGCUUAUCAGCUUGUUGGUCUGGUAGUGGCUUACCAAGGCUUUGACGGGUAGCCGGCCUGAGAGGGUGACCGGCCACAUUGGGACUGAGAUACGGCCCAGACUCCUACGGGAGGCAGCAGUGGGGAAUAUUGCACAAUGGGCGGAAGCCUGAUGCAGCAACGCCGCGUGCGGGAUGACGGCCUUCGGGUUGUAAACCGCUUUCGCCUGUGACGAAGCGUGAGUGACGGUAAUGGGUAAAGAAGCACCGGCUAACUACGUG
Molecule: ribosomal RNA, 468 nt
Filed under: uncultured bacterium
Lineage: Bacteria
Description: partial 16S ribosomal RNA
Rfam family: Bacterial small subunit ribosomal RNA
Source: RNAcentral